UUUCAUAUGUGGGAGCCACUAGGCCUCCUCUUUUCAAGGGCUAAGAGAAAUUUAAAUCUCUCCCGAUUACUGACCCUGAAAACCACACUGCGUUUCUGGCAGAUGAUGUUAAAAAAGUGUGGUGGAACUCCCUCUGGUACAAUUGAGUGCAGACCCUUGUCUUAAGGAAAUACCAUUUGUCAGGGGUGGGAGAGAAAUAUGGAUCUCUGUUUCUAUUUAGAAAUCAUGGCAACAAGUAGAACAUUUUCUGUCCACAUCCAGAGGGAGAAGCCACAGGAGGAAAUACCUUGAAGCUUGUGGGACGUGCCUGGUGAGGAUAUUCCGUUCAAUGACACAUCUGUCAUCUUUACAUGUUGACCAGCCAACAAGAACUUGCUGAGUACAGGACGGACAAGGUUGGCAUUCCGCUGGCUCUACAGGGGAUCAACGGGAAGGAUGGAGAGAACAGCUUGUGUGCCAGGUGGGGAGACGGACAUGGACCAAUACUGAAUAACCUACAACACAAUGGUUUAGAAAGAGAAUUCAAGGUAUGUGGACUGGACUUAAGCCAUGGCUAAGCUCACAAAAGACUUCCUGGAAGAAGAUGUACAGCCUAUGGUGAGGCACAACCUCCCUGUCUGUACUGCGAGUUCUUGGGUCAAGACACAACUCACCUCUACCUAUCUGUACACUGACAGCAAAGUCCUUUUAAUAUCAAACAGAAAUGAAUGACAAUGAUGGUGACCACAUUUCCCAAACCCACGAACGGUCAGGUUUCUGUGGCGCCUCUCCAUUUGAGAGGCUCUCUGAAAGCCAGUCGUGGAUAGCAUGCUUCCAUGUGUAUGUAAAUAACAAGACAUAUGGAACAUGUUAAAUCGGAAGACUGUUCCAUAUCCAGAAUUACUAAUGUACUAAUAAUCCUUUGAAUCCUCAAAAAAAACAAAAAACACUAUACUUUUAUGCCAAAGUAGAUGGAAUGGGUGACUAGAGAUAAAGCUGAAGAAAUUUCAGAUUUAAAAUCUGACUGGCCCAUUCACCAGCAGACUUAGGAAAGUGCUAACUGCGAAGCUGGCCAGUAUUCAGCUCGACAGUCCUAAAAACAAACGGAACCCUUUGGAGCUGGAAAGUGGUAUCAUAAAAGCCGCCGAAUGCGGUGCUUCUAGAGCGGCCCACCAGGAAAAUAUGACAGUUUACAUCUUUACGUAGCCUAAUGUACAGUGGGAAUAUAAAUAUCUCGUUCAGGCCCCAGUCACUGCCUGGAAUGGGAUGCUUUCCUUAACAAGAAGCAGAUGAGAGGCCCAGAAGCCAAACCUCUUAUUCUGUUGGUCUGAAGGCUGUAGUUUUCAGUCGGUCAGCACAGAGAGUGGCAAUUCAGGGAGGGAAGGCACUGCAUGUGUUUCCUUGGUCAGGACAAAAGCUUGUAGCUCUUUUCCUGGGCCCCCUGAGGCUCUCGUACGUUGAGUGUCCCGCAUGUGGUCAGCGGCUUUACCCACCUUUCCUUGGGCCACCAGCUCCCUCUGGGCUGCUGAGGCCGAUUUGACCAGGGCGCUUGUGGCAGCAGCAAUGGAUUUAGCAGCUUCCAAGAUCUGUUCCUCAAAGUCCAGGGUCUCAUCCGCUUGCUAUAACCAAAAGAAAACAGCAUCACAUUCAAUUCAUAUCCACAAAGGGCUCUUUCUUCCAAACUACUUACUGCCGGGUCACCUGGCUCUUCACCUGCCUAUUGUUUUUUGUUGACAAACCACACCUGAAAUGGGAUGGUUCCUUAACAAGAAGCAGAUGACAGGUCCCCUGUGCAAACUUUCAGGACUCUUAAGUCAGUUUGGUUAAGCCACCCUCGGGUCACAGUGUGGAAGAUGUGGCUGGUACCUUUCAGGCAUUAAGAGACAAUGGCCAGGCACAGCAAUAGUUUUCUUUGUAUGUGUGGUACAAUAUAUAUAACACAAAAUUUACCCUUUUACCUAAUGUUAAGUAUUAAUACACUGACACUGUUGUACAACAGCAAUACCAGGAUAGAAAGGUCAGGAUGCCUCUCCACCUGCAGCCCCUUCCCCCUAACUCCAAAAGGAAAAAGCCGUUAGCUUGACAUCCCACGGAAAUUUGCAGACAGACUCAUUUUCUGGAACAAAAUCUUUAAAGAUAUACACUCACUGUGAACAAAAUACACUCAAAUGGUUUUAGCAACAUCAAUAACUGAAACCAAAAUAAUAAAAUCAAAACAGUAGAUCAUAGCACUUACUCUCUUCUAGAGCCUAAGCCUCAAAAAUGGACUUUAAAAAAAAAAAAAGGAAAGAUGGCUACCAGUUCUGAAAAGUUGUCUUUUUCCUGGGUAAAAAUCAAAGCCAAACAGCACUGGCAUUUCUGUGGCUGAGCACUGAGAGAGUUAUAGACCAAGCACACAUUGCCCAGUGGUGAAAAAGAAACCAGGGCAACACGACAUCAAGGUGGAGCUUGUUCUGUCCUCUGGACACCCGAGGCACGGGAUCCACCUUGGGAAGAACACUGGACACCACUGUGUAGGUGUUAUCAGACCAUUAGGGUUCUGGUCUAAAUUCACCACCAUCUCCUUUGCUGCUAAAACAACUCAGGAAGUUGAAAAGAAGCUUUGGAGAAGUGGAACAAGUAUAAAGACUGUGGUCCCAGGCUCAUGGGUUGGAGCAUCACAGUUUUGCCGGGGGGUGGUCAGAUUAGACCUGUGUGACAACAUUCCGUGACUCUAGGUCAAUUUGGUUAAGCUGCCCUCAGGUCACACAGUGUUGAAGAUGUGGGUGGUACCUUUCAGGCAUUGAGAGAUGAUGGCCAGGCCCAGCAAUACUUUUCUCUGUAUGUGUGGUAAAAUAUAUGUAACACAAAACUUACCCUUUUAUCCAAUUUUAAGUGUACAAUUCAGUGGCAUUACGGACAUUCACACUUUGUGCCAACAGUAGUAGAUUUUUAAGAGUGCCUACUGUGUACCAAGUAUUUUGUUAGGCACUUCUACAUACAAUGACUUAAUUCUCACCAAAAAAAAAAAAAAAGAUCGUAUAUUGGAAUUAUCUUUAUCCUUAUUUUUACAGUGAGAAAACCCAGGCUCAGGAAGGUAGAUGAUUGGGCCAAGGUGAUGUGGCAGCAUGAAGCAUCUAAACCAGAAUCUAAACCUAAAUCUGACUCCAAAAUGAGGCACUUUAACUAGCCAAAGCCACCCCUUGGGGCAUCAGUGAGAAACGGUUUGUGCCAGAGGUUCAAAGUCAGCUUGCUAACGCUCCCAUGUGAAACGUCAGACAGGAGGGAUACAAGUCUUCUCCAGCUCUCCAUUCAUAAUGCCACAUCUUGAACCAUGAAAGGUGCUAAUCCUUUUUCUUUAUAACCUACAUUAUCAAAAUACAAUUUCAAUGCACUUCUAAUGGAUCUGAAUGAUGGUAGCAUUUCAGAAGUUCUGAGACAGACUUGUGCAUUCUUUCUUAUUGCUGACCAAGUCUUGCUCUAAGAGUAUUCAGGACAGACAUGAAUUUAGUUCUACUGGACUCAUUUUGGACUGGUGGAGUAUAGAAUUUGGUGACUGAAAUACGGAAAUGAUCCAUUGUAAGACACUCUCGUAUAAAAGGAACUCUUGUGUAGUCAGUCCCCAAAUAAAUUAUAGUAGGCUCUAAUUUAUAUAUAUUAAAUAUAUAAAUAAUGUAUAUUUUAAUAACCGUGAGAUUAAGAGCUUUUCUGGAAAUUCAUUCUGCCAAAGAAUGUCAGGCACAUAACAGAUUAAAGCACCAGGGAAAUCACAGAAUUUUUGACUCCAAACUCCUCAUCUCAUUUUGCAGAUGAGGAAACGGAGGCUUGUGGGAGCUCUUCAUGGCGGCUCCUGAAGUCUCUCACGCUCUUGCCUCAGGUGUCCUCAGCUACUCUAUGGGUUCCACGCCCGAGUCCACUUUACAGUGUGGAAUACUCUGUCAGACUUUUUAUUUCCCAAAUUUUAAGAUUUUCAAAAAUGGAAUUUCUUUAAAAUUAAGUGCUACGUCUUUAGCAGGGGUAGAUCUGAUAGGAUCAUCUCAUCACAACUGAUUUUACGAGCCUCUCCCACAUCUUCCGCUGCCUGGAGUUUUUUUUUUUUUUAAACACAAGCUUGUAAUAAUAGAUAUUCAACUUGGAAAUAUUUUUGACACCCACAGAUUUUUCUGGUAAUGGCAACUGUUGUAAUGUUCUUUGACGAAUUUUUAUUUUUCUUCCCACAACAUCUCUAUGCUUUAAAACAGAUACGGCAGAAGUUCUUAUCUCUGGGAGACAUUUGCUCUGAUAAGAAAGUAUUAAGAUUCUCCCUAGAAAGGCUGACUGGGAUGGCACAGGGAUGGAGGGCUAAUGUUAGAUACUACAGUUUGGGCAGAGUACCCUGAUGAAACCUGCCUUCUGACUGCUGUGUCCCUAUUUUCCUGUAUGCCAGGUUUAUGACUAAGACGCACUGCCCACCCUACCUCUACUGCUGAAAUCAGACACCAAUACUUAACGUGUCCUCAUACCAUACAACUUCUAGCCUUAGAGAAAAUGGCAUCUCUCCAAGCCAAGGAGACAUGGUCAAAAACCCAGGUGCCCCAUCAGUUCCAGCUCCCAUUAGCAUGCAGAAUGGAAUAGGGGAGAAGGUAGGAAGGACACACACUUAACCAUAUCACAAGAAGGAAACAGAAUUGGCUUGGUCUUCAAAGGACUUUCCUAAAUAAAAGAAUCCCAAUUAAAAUGCAGAAUUUGUUAAUGGAACAGUCCCCACUGCAGCUGAGAGACUGGGGAGACUAAGAAGAACAACAUGGUGCACAGUGACUCCGGGGAAGAAUCUGCAGGCUGGGCCCUCUCCUGGAGCUCUCAUUCUCACCUUCUCACCAGAGAGGCUCACCUGGUUGGUGUCUUAAGGCCCUCUUUAGCUGAGAUGUUACUGACCUGACCAGGGUCAGUCAGAUCUCUCCUUCUGGUUUAUAAAGGGGAUAACGGAAUCCUCGCUUCUGGGUGUUUCAUUCUUUCCACAAUUGGAUCAUGUAAAGACCCGCUAAAAUAAUCUUUUAAAGAUUAUGACUAAUCCUGUGCAUGUGGCUAUUUAUGUUUCUCUAUAACUACUGGCAUCAAGCUAAAGCAAGGAACUUUAGAAAACAAUUUCAUUAAACAGGAUAAAUUGAUAGUCUUUAGCCAUAAAAAAGAGUGAGAUCCUGCCAUUUGCAACCACAUGGCUAGAACUGGAGAUCCUUAUGUUAAGUGAAAUAAGCCAGGCACAGAAAGACAAACAUUGUAUGUUCCCACUUAUUUGUGGGAUCCAGAAAUCAAAACAAUUGAACUCAUGGACAUAGAGAGUAGAAGGAUGGCUCCCAGAGGCUGGGAAGGGUAGUGAGGGGCUGGGAGGUAGGGAUGGUUCAUGGGUACAAAAAAAUAGAAUAAGACCUACUACAUGUGACAGCACAACAGGGUGACUAUGGUCAAUAACUUAAUUGUACAUUUUAAAAUAAUUAGAACAGUGUAAUUGGAUUGUUUGUAACACAAAGGAUAAAUGCUUGAGAGGAUGGAUACCCCAUUCUCCAUGAUGUGCUUAUUUCACAUUGCAUGCCUGAUAUUGUUUGGCUGUGUCCCCACCCAAAUCUCAUCUUGAAUUGUAGCUCCCAUAAUCCCCACAUGUCAUGGGAGGGACCUGGUGGGAGGUAACUGAAUCAUGGGGGCAGGUCUUUCCUGUGCUGUUCUCGUGAUAGUGAGUAAGUUUCAUGAGAUCUGUUGGUUUUAUAAAGGGGAGUUCCCCUACACAAGCCCGCUUGCCUGCCGCCAUAUAAGAUGUAUCUUGCUUCCCCUUCGCUUUCCGCCAUGAUUGUGAGGCCUCCCCAGCCAUGUGGAACUGUGAGUCAAUUAAACCUUUUCUUUAUGUAUCACCCAGUCCUGGGUAUGUCUAUAUUAGUUGUGUGAGAACAAGCUAAUACAAUGCCUGUAACAACACAUCUCAUGUAUUAUAUAUAUAUAAUAUAAUAUAUAUUAUAUAUAUAUACCUACUAUGUACCCUCAAAAACCAAACAGAAAAAAAUUUUAAAGAAAAAUAAAUAAAUAAAUAAAUAAAUGGAUAGCCCUCACUGCAGAAUCACCUGAGGAUCUGGUUAAAGAUGCAGAUGCUGUUUUGGUAGGUCUGGGGUGGGAGUCAGGAAUCUGUAUUUCUUACAGAGGUGGUUACACACUACUCUGUAGGAAAUGCUGGCCUGGACUCAGGAAAACAAACACCAUUUAACUUAAACCUACCAGCCUGUGAUCCCCUCCAGGGUGAGACUGUGUUUUAUUCAACCUAUGUUUCUCUAGCACAAAAUCAGGCAGAGGAGCCCAUGUGAUGAUCAACAUUUGCUGAAUGAAUAUAUCCAUUCAAAAUGCAUUUCCCAAGUUCCAGAGUUCAGCCAGAGCACAACGCACAAGGUAGGAGAAGGAGAAAUACACAGAGUAAGCAUCCACAUCAUUAGCAUCCACUCCUGAGCCCUGGUGGACAGAUGCAUACACAGCUAUGAGCAAGUUCCUGCCCUGUUUGAGGCCUUGAGUUGUUAAUUGUACACUCUACUUGCAGCCUUCAACUGGAAUUCACAGUUUGUGACAUUUAGUCAUGCAUGGACAUACAAAUGUAAACACAGUGGCAUUUUACCAAGAGGCACUCUUAUGUAACAAGACAGCACUGGGAAAAAGAGUGAACAGAUGUACAAACUAAGCUUCUACUCUGCCUAAUGAAGGUGUUUGUUGCUGCCUCUGCAUGCUGAAUUAACUUCUCCUUUGAUAUACUGUUCUUUUCCCCCUUCCCCUUCAUUUGAAAAGGCUAUUUGGCCAGGUGCCCAUCAGCUCUAAGCAAUCGUCUUUCCUGGGCUGUCUGGCCAACUCUUGCUGAGGACAGAUUUAUCCCUACCUGGGCUUUUUGGUAGCUUCUAGAAAGGUCUGAGUACCCUGUAGUUGACCUCUUCCCUGCAUGCUGACCUUCCUUGCUCACCCUUUAAAAAGUCAGUGGUCUGGUGAGAUCCCUCUUGGGAAAGGCUAUAUAUUGGGUUGGCUCCCUUCCCCUGUUUCCCAGUUGGGAGAGUAUUUGGGACCCCUUUAUGUUGCUCUGAUGGGUUUAAAGUUUCAGUAGCUAUAUGUCCCCUGGAAGAGGAAAUGGUGGUGGUAGGGGAAGUGGUGUGGAAAGUGGAGAAGGUAAAAGGGACAGCCUUUCCUCAUGUUUCUUUUGACAUUUGGCCUUUCAUGGAUUCUGAGAACAUGGUCUUCACACUAAUUCAUUCAUCUUCUAAGCCUACUUCCCCUCCUAACCUAUCUGAUGGAGUCAUUACAAGCACGUGAUUAGUAUAUGUAAAGCAUGGCUGACUCAUAGGAGAUGCUCAAAAACUAUUAGCAAUUUCAUUAUCAAAAAUUGUUUUUUUCAGGUUUGGGGCUAAAUUAAUCUGUUUCUCUGUCUAAACCCUGUUAUGUAUCCAUAAUUCCAAUAAAAAUUCUUCUUGCUA
Molecule: long non-coding RNA, 7427 nt
Filed under: Homo sapiens (human)
Lineage: Eukaryota; Metazoa; Chordata; Mammalia; Primates; Hominidae
Description: non-protein coding lnc-RPS27L-9:10
Source: RNAcentral